GGAAUCUUCCACAAUGAGCGAAAGCCUGAUGGAGCAACGCCGCGUGUGUGAUGAAGGGUUUCGGCUCGUAAAACACUGUUGUAAGAGAAGAAUGACAUUGAGAGUAACUGUUCAAUGUGUGACGGUAUCUUACCAGAAAGGAACGGCUAAAUACGUGCCAG
This 161-nucleotide ribosomal RNA is filed under the name uncultured bacterium. Its description in RNAcentral is "partial 16S rRNA". It matches the Rfam family "Bacterial small subunit ribosomal RNA", at positions 358 to 511 of the family's 1533-position model. The record is from RNAcentral.